Molecule: ribosomal RNA, 422 nt
Filed under: Boletellus obscurococcineus
Lineage: Eukaryota; Fungi; Basidiomycota; Agaricomycetes; Boletales; Boletaceae
Description: eukaryotic LSU rRNA
Rfam family: Eukaryotic large subunit ribosomal RNA
Source: RNAcentral
UAACAGGAUUCCCCUAGUAACUGCGAGUGAAGCGGGAAAAGCUCAAAUUUCAAAUCUGGCGGGGCCGUCCGAGUUGUAAUCUAGAGAAGCGUGUUCUGUGCUGGACCGUGUACAAGUCUCCUGGAAGGGAGCGUCAUAGAGGGUGAGAAUCCCGUCUCUGACACGGAGAUGUGUUGCGCUCUCAACGAGUCGAGUUGUUUGGGAAUGCAGCUCUAAAUGGGUGGUAAAUUCCAUCUAAAGCUAAAUAUUGGCGAGAGACCGAUAGCGAACAAGUACCGUGAGGGAAAGAUGAAAAGAACUUUGGAAAGAGAGUUAAACAGUACGUGAAAUUGCUGAAAGGGAAACGUUUGACGUCAGUCACGUCAGUCAGGGAUCAACCUUGCGGCGGGUGCACUUCCUGGCAGACGGGUCAGCAUCAGUUU